UGGCUGUCUGCUUCCCCUCCCCUGCAGGGCCUGGAACAUCAUGACCUGCAUCGGGUUGGUAAUGGAAGUUGUUCAGAGUGCAGUGGAAGAAUAUUUUUUCUUCCAUGCCUCUCCUCCCCUCAUUCAGCAGCAGUGCUAGAGAGUGACUUUGCAUGAGGUCACACUGAGACCCCAGGAAACCCUCUUGGUCUUCCUGAUCACUGGAGAAGGGAAAAUACACCCCAACUCCUUACAGCUCAUUUUUUCCCUCAUAGGCACAGGAGGAAGCUCGUCGGAACAGGCUCAUGAGAGACAUGGCUCAGCUACGACUUCAGCUCGAAGUGUCUCAGCUGGAGGGCAGCCUGC
This 345-nucleotide non-coding RNA is filed under the name Pan troglodytes (chimpanzee). The record is from RNAcentral. Lineage: Eukaryota; Metazoa; Chordata; Mammalia; Primates; Hominidae. RNAcentral also lists the same sequence under 1 other name.